CAGCGCCCCCUCUGGGUUUUGGCGUCGUUCACGUCGGUUCAUGCGGUCAGUGGUGGUAUUGCACCUUCACAGCGGUACUUACGACAAGCGAACACACCGAAGCAGGUGGAGAUGAUUGAAACCGUAAACACACAGUGUUAGGGAAUAAACUGUUAUAUCUCAGGUCAGACCGCAGCCUGAGCCUCUGAACAAACUAGUCCAAACUCAUCAUACAUUAUUAACCACAUCGUGUCAGAGUUAGGUACACUGCUAACGAGGUUUUGUCAGUUAGCUAGCUGUCACGGCGAGAGAAGUUAUGCUAACAAACAAACAAAAUGGCGGCGCCACACCGAGGAACAGUUGGAUGUUGAAAUCAUGGACAUGUAGCAGUUCACCGCCAUGAAUGAAGGAAGAAUGGACUUUAGAUAAUGUGUCACCACUUCAUCCACAACAUCGUCCACGAUCGCUGAGACGUCGUCCACGAUCGCAGAGACAUGGUCCACGAUCAGAGAGACAUUGUUGAGGAUGAGGGAGACAUCGUCCACGAUCAGAGACAUUGUCCACGAUCGCAGAGACCUUGUCAAAGACGAGAGAGACGUUGUCCAUGAUCAGAGACAUUGUCCCAUGCUUCGUAGAGACCUUGCGAUAGAAUCGGCGGAGACUGGGGUCACCGAUUUGACGGCACUGCCCGCGAUCAUGGAGACAUUGUCGAUGAUCACAGAGACACCGUCUAUGAUCUCAGAGACAUCGUCCACGAUCACAAAGACAUUGUCCAUGAUCACAGAGACUUUGUCUAUAAUCUCAGAGACAUUGUCCGUGAUCACAGAGACGUAGUCCACGAUCACAGAGACGUAGUCCACGAUCAAAGAGUCUUCGUACAAUGAAGAAGUUCUUUGAGACCAGGACAGAGUCCUCCAGGUGUCACCACUUCAUCCACAACAUCGUCCACGAUCGCAGAGACGUCGUCCACGAUCGCAGAGACAUGGUCCACGAUCAGAGAGACAUUGUUGAGGAUGAGGGAGACAUCGUCCACGAUCAGAGACAUUGUCCACGAUCGCAGAGACCUUGUCAAAGACGAGAGAGACGUUGUCCAUGAUCAGAGACAUUGUCCCAUGCUUCGUAGAGACCUU
Molecule: long non-coding RNA, 1109 nt
Organism: Lates calcarifer (barramundi perch)
Lineage: Eukaryota; Metazoa; Chordata; Actinopteri; Centropomidae
Exons: 3
Source: RefSeq, a predicted model, not a curated record